RNAcentral lists this ribosomal RNA (465 nucleotides) under uncultured bacterium. RNAcentral describes it as "partial 16S ribosomal RNA". It matches the Rfam family "Bacterial small subunit ribosomal RNA", at positions 28 to 507 of the family's 1533-position model. The record is from RNAcentral.
GACGAACGCUGGCGGCGUGCUUAACACAUGCAAGUCGAACGGAAAGGCCCUGCUUGCAGGGUACUCGAGUGGCGAACGGGUGAGUAACACGUGGGUGAUCUGCCCUGCACUUCGGGAUAAGCCUGGGAAACUGGGUCUAAUACCGGAUAGGAGCCAUUUUUAGUGUGAUGGUUGGAAAGUUUUUUCGGGGUAGGAUGAGCUCGCGGCCUAUCAGCUUGUUGGUGGGGUAAUGGCCUACCAAGGCGGCGACGGGUAGCCGGCCUGAGAGGGUGGACGGCCACAUUGGGACUGAGAUACGGCCCAGACUCCUACGGGAGGCAGCAGUGGGGACUAUUGCACAAUGGGCGCAAGCCUGAUGCAGCGACGCCGCGUGGGGGAUGACGGCCUUCGGGUUGUAAACUCCUUUCGCUAGGGACGAAGCUUUUUGUGACGGUACCUAGAUAAGAAGCACCGGCUAACUACGUG